This 1404-nucleotide long non-coding RNA is filed under the name Homo sapiens (human). RNAcentral describes it as "HSALNT0229102". The record is from RNAcentral. Lineage: Eukaryota; Metazoa; Chordata; Mammalia; Primates; Hominidae.
AGAAUCUUCACCAGGAGUAGAUUCCAUCUUAACAAACCACGUUCUUCGUUCAUCCAGAAGAAACAACUCCUUGUCUGUUCAAGUUUGAUCAUGAGAUUACAGCAAUUCGGUCACAUCUCCAGGCUCCCCUUCUAAUUCUGGUUUUCUUAACUAUUUUCACCACGCCUGAAAUUUCUUCAUCCACUGAAGCCUUGAACCCCUCAAAGUCAUCCAUGAGGGCUGGAAUCAACUUCUUCCAAACUCCCGUUCAUGUUGAUAUUUUGACUUCCUCCCAUGAAUCAUGAAUUUUCUUAAAGGCAUCAAGAAUGGGGAAUCCUUUCCAGAAGAUUUUCAAUUUGCUGUGCCCAGAUCCAACAGAAGAAUCACUAUCUAUGACAGCUAUAGCCUUACAAGAUGUAUUUCUUAAAUAAUAAUGCUUUAAAGUCAAAGUAACUCCUUGAACCAUGGACUGCAGAAUGAAUGUUGUGUUAGCAGGCAUGAAAACAAUAUUAAUCUCUUUGAACAUCUCCAUCGAACCUCUUGGGUGACCAGGUGCAUUGCCAAUAAGCAGUAAUAUUUUGAGAGGAAUCUUCAUUUCUGGGCAUCGAGUCCCAAUAGUGGGCUUAAAAUACUCAGCAAACCAUGCUAACCUGUUGUCUGCCAUGACCAGGAGCUCCAUUCUCACACCUCUCUUUCUGGCCUCGCUCAUCUCAGCCCAUGAUCUCUUUUACUUCUUGGGGAGAUGAAACCUUAAAGAAAGCCAUGCUGAUUAUCUAUUUCCCUUUUCUCCAGAAUGUAAGCCCACUGAAAAAUAGACACAAGGUUGUCUCCUGGCCUGUUAAAUGUGUCCAUGACUACACAGAAAUUCCUGCCUAUUGCCUGCUUUCCUGAUGGAGAAGUUCAUGAUCUGCAAUAAUCAUCAGUGAACUGCAGCCUUUAUGCCAAUUCUGGCCCACUGCUUGUUUUUUUCAAUAAAGUUUUGUUGGAACACAGCCAUGACCAUCAUUUAUAUAUUGUAUGUGGAUGCUUUCCAGUUACAAUGGCAGAGAUGAGUAGUUGUCACAGGAGUCACAAAACCUAAAGUAUUUGUUAUCCGACCCUUUACAGAAAAUUUUGCUGACCACUGUUCCAUGUGAAUGAAGGUUUCUGAAGCAUUUGCACCUAGAGAAGAUUGUGAGAUAAUUAAGUCAUCAACCAGAUCAUGGUGGUAGACACCUGCCCUCACACUCAAAUAAACCUAGUGACCAGCAUUGGGCCUAGAAACAGAAAUCUUGAUGUUGCAAAAAGAUAUCACUUGUCACAUUAAAUUAAAGAUAUUAAGAAAUUGACUAGUCCUGUCAAAUAAAUUAAAAAAUUUAUUUGUAUUUAAUUUUUAAGUUUGUUUUGAUUUUAGAGUUAAUGUAAUAGCUUAAAAAAAGGGGGGAA